UACAGAGGUCUCAAGCGUUGUUCGGAUUCAUUGGGCGUAAAGGGUGCGUAGGCGGCGCGGUAAGUCGGGUGUGAAAUCUCGGAGCUUAACUCCGAAACUGCAUUCGAUACUGCCGUGCUUGAGGACUGGAGAGGAGACUGGAAUUUACGGUGUAGCGGUGAAAUGCGUAGAUAUUGUAAGGAAGACCAGUGGCGAAGGCGGGUCUCUGGACAGUUCCUGACGCUGAGGCACGAAGGUCAGGGGAGCAAACGGG
RNAcentral lists this ribosomal RNA (253 nucleotides) under uncultured bacterium. RNAcentral's name for it is "partial 16S ribosomal RNA". It matches the Rfam family "Bacterial small subunit ribosomal RNA", at positions 524 to 776 of the family's 1533-position model. The record is from RNAcentral.